GAUGAACGCUGGCGGCGUGCCUAAUACAUGCAAGUCGAGCGAACGGACGAGAAGCUUGCUUCUCUGAUGUUAGCGGCGGACGGGAGAGUAACACGUGGAUAACCUACCUAUAAGACUGGGAUAACUUCGGGAAACCGUAGCUAAUACCGGAUAAUAUUUUGAACCGCAUGGUUCAAAAGUGAAAGACGGUCUUGCUGUCACUUAUAGAUGGAUCCGCGCUGCAUUAGCUAGUUGGUAAGGUAACGGCUUACCAAGGCAACGAUGCAUAGCCGACCUGAGAGGGUGAUCGGCCACACCGGAACUGAGACACGGUCCAGACUCCUACGGGAGGCAGCAGUAGGGAAUCUUCCGCAAUGGGCGAAAGCCUGACGGAGCAACGCCGCGUGAGUGAUGAAGGUCUUCGGAUCGUAAAACUCUGUUAUUAGGGAAGAACAUAUGUGUAAGUAACUGUGCACAUCUUGACGGUACCUAAUCAGAAAGCCACGGCUAACUACGUG
This 497-nucleotide ribosomal RNA is filed under the name uncultured bacterium. RNAcentral's name for it is "partial 16S ribosomal RNA". It matches the Rfam family "Bacterial small subunit ribosomal RNA", at positions 28 to 507 of the family's 1533-position model. The record is from RNAcentral.